Molecule: ribosomal RNA, 207 nt
Filed under: Nacobbus aberrans
Lineage: Eukaryota; Metazoa; Nematoda; Chromadorea; Rhabditida; Pratylenchidae
Description: 18S ribosomal RNA
Rfam family: Eukaryotic small subunit ribosomal RNA
Source: RNAcentral
UUGAUUACGUCCCUGCCCUUUGUACACACCGCCCGUCGCUGCCCGGGACUGAGCCAUUUCGAGAAACUUGGGGACUGCUGAUCCGGUGGCUUCGGCCUCCGCUUCGGUGGAAACCAAUUUAAUCGCAGUGGCUUGAACCGGGCAAAAGUCGUAACAAGGUAGCUGUAGGUGAACCUGCUGCUGGAUCAUUACACGUACCGUUAUGGU